Molecule: long non-coding RNA, 235 nt
Filed under: Gossypium raimondii (Peruvian cotton)
Lineage: Eukaryota; Viridiplantae; Streptophyta; Magnoliopsida; Malvales; Malvaceae
Description: long non-coding RNA (GRAI_LNC001146)
Source: RNAcentral
CGGCUAUCAUAAGAGAUGAGAGGAUUGAUAUAAGUUUCAUCAAUUAAUACUUACCUUAAUACAAUUGGGUUAGAAAGAUUGACGAUUCACUGCAGUUUCAGUUCGAUUGAGGAGUAUUGACUAAGGAGAAAUCAACAUCAAAAUAAAAAUAAUAAUGACUAGCAAUUUGAAGAGAGGAUGAGAAACGAAGCGACGGUGGUAAAAAAGGAGUGGGAAGAGGAAGGGCGGUGGUGAA